Molecule: non-coding RNA, 81 nt
Organism: Acanthosepion pharaonis
Lineage: Eukaryota; Metazoa; Mollusca; Cephalopoda; Sepiida; Sepiidae
Source: the annotation of a GenBank genome assembly
CCGUGCGAUCACCGAAGUUAAGCAACGUUGUGCAUGCUCAGUAGUUCAAUGAGUGGCCGCUUGGGAAUACCAGGUGUUGUG